UAGGGAAUCUUCGGCAAUGGACGAAAGUCUGACCGAGCAACGCCGCGUGAGUGAAGAAGGUUUUCGGAUCGUAAAACUCUGUUGUUAGAGAAGAACAAGGACGUUAGUAACUGAACGUCCCCUGACGGUAUCUAACCAGAAAGCCACGGCUAACUACGUGCCAGCAGCCGCGGUAAUACGUAGGUGGCAAGCGUUGUCCGGAUUUAUUGGGCGUAAAGCGAGCGCAGGCGGUUUCUUAAGUCUGAUGUGAAAGCCCCGGCUCAACCGGGGAGGGUCAUUGGAAACUGGGAGGAUUGAGUGCAGAAGAGGAGAGUGGAAUUCCAUGUGUAGCGGUGAAAUGCGUAGAUAUAUGGAGGAACACCAGUAGCGAAGGCGGCUCUCUGGUCUGUAACUGACGCUGAGGCUCGAAAGCGUGGGGAGCAAACAGG
This 428-nucleotide ribosomal RNA is filed under the name Gemmatimonadota bacterium. RNAcentral's name for it is "Gemmatimonadetes bacterium partial 16S ribosomal RNA". It matches the Rfam family "Bacterial small subunit ribosomal RNA", at positions 355 to 776 of the family's 1533-position model. Lineage: Bacteria; Pseudomonadati; Gemmatimonadota. The record is from RNAcentral.